RNAcentral lists this ribosomal RNA (429 nucleotides) under Chloroflexota bacterium. RNAcentral's name for it is "Chloroflexi bacterium partial 16S ribosomal RNA". It matches the Rfam family "Bacterial small subunit ribosomal RNA", at positions 355 to 776 of the family's 1533-position model. Lineage: Bacteria; Bacillati; Chloroflexota. The record is from RNAcentral.
UGGGGAAUAUUGCACAAUGGGCGCAAGCCUGAUGCAGCCAUGCCGCGUGUAUGAAGAAGGCCUUCGGGUUGUAAAGUACUUUCAGCGGGGAGGAAGGGAGUAAAGUUAAUACCUUUGCUCAUUGACGUUACCCGCAGAAGAAGCACCGGCUAACUCCGUGCCAGCAGCCGCGGUAAUACGGAGGGUGCAAGCGUUAAUCGGAAUUACUGGGCGUAAAGCGCACGCAGGCGGUUUGUUAAGUCAGAUGUGAAAGCCUCGGGCUCAACCUGGGAACUGCAUCUGAUACUGGCAAGCUUGAGUCUCGUAGAGGGGGGUAGAAUUCCAGGUGUAGCGGUGAAAUGCGUAGAGAUCUGGAGGAAUACCGGUGGCGAAGGCGGCCCCCUGGACGAAGACUGACGCUCAGGUGCGAAAGCGUGGGGAGCAAACAGG